Long non-coding RNA from Equus caballus (horse), 5372 nucleotides. Lineage: Eukaryota; Metazoa; Chordata; Mammalia; Perissodactyla; Equidae. The record is from Ensembl.
CAGUGCUGUUUGGCAAACCCCUGGUGCGACUAGGGCUGGGCCUGAGCCCCAGCUGCAGGAUCCUGGGGCGCCGACAGCUCCCUGUGGGACGAGAAGCCGCUGGAGCACAGACCCCAGGGCCUUCCCCGGGACGCGGCCUGGAAAACAAGAACAGGGGCUUUGAGAGAACCAAGCAGGUCCUGCUCGCAGCCUCUCUCUGACGGCCUCCGCCUCUGCUCCUGUCCUGGCCCAGCACUGUUGUCACUGUUGUCUACAAUGCGGCUCUGUUGAUACUGCCCUUGGACGCUUCAGAACCUCAGAGGUGGAGGGGACCUUAGGGGCCAUCUGGUCCAGCCCCUUGAUUUGUCACAAGAGGCAACCGAGUGCAGAGUGGCACGGGGACGUGGCCCUGUGAAGGCCUGGGUGUCUGGGUCCUGCCUCCCCCACCAUGGGGACAUGGGCCCCUCUCCCUUUGGAGGAGAUUGUGGGUGGAGGGCUGGGUGACAAGCCCAAGACUUAAAGGGAAACCAAGGCAAGAGAGGAGCCCGGAGGCGGUCCUGGAGGGGCCACUCCCGCUGCCCCGUGCUGGAAGGAUCACCAGCACCCGGGGGUGGAGCAGGGCCCAGGGAAGGGCCAUGGGAGCCGAGCCGCAGAGCUGGCAGGAGCCUGGGGGGUGCGCCCAAAGAGCCGAGCGGGCCCCUGUGCUCUGUCUCACAGUCACCUGCCCAGCCCCAACCCCAGCCCUGCACGGCCUCGAUGGUAAUUUGAUGAGUCACCCGCCCCCGCCUGCAGACAGGGCAGCCACACCCAGGGCAGCUGGCACCCCGGUGGUGUUUCUGCUCAGAGCUGCUGGGCCGGCAGCCUGCCAGGCCACGGCUGGGCACCGAUGAGGAGCCAGGACGCUAAGAAACCUGCUGAGUGGCAGAACUUGCCGUCUGCGUUGCCCCAUCUCCAUGCCAGGGCCUCCUUCGGACAGCCCGGCCCAGGUGCCUUCUUGGCAGGCCAGUAACAAGCAGUGGGCCUGGCAUCUCCCAGAUCUGUGCUCUGUGGGGCUCUGGGCUUCAGGCUGCUCCCACCGGCUGGGCCUAAGCAGGGAGCCAAGACGGUCAGGUGUGACCCCCUCUGGCUGGCAGGGCUGCUGCUCCAUCUCCGCCUGUCAGAUCCCAUCCUGGCCCAGGUCUAAUGCUCCCUCCUCCUGCACAGGCCCCCAGAUGCCCUGAGCUCCCCCAACCCUUAGGGUAAUUGUUCCUCUCUGCCACUUAGCACAUGGCGCUUCCCCCGGUGCACGGUGAGCUCUUGGCCUCACCUGCAGGCUUGCUCCAGGGCCCCGGGUAGCGCACUGACUGGGUGACUGCUCAUCCUGUCCAUCGACAUUCCAUCUGCAUGUUCUCUGACAACAUCCCUGAGACCAGACGCCCCCUUCGGCAUCUUUCUUCUCCCACCUCCCCCCACCCGCUUUUCAGGCCCUACCAUCACGCCAGAGGCCUCCACUUCAGGCCCUACUGGGCUGGGGCUGGACCUGGGCCCAUUUUGACAAAGAGGCUCAAGGAAUUGGGGGUUUCCAUGGCACCUUGACCCUCCAGCCAUCCCCUGUCUUGGCUGUCCACUGGCCGUGGCAGCUGCUGAGGGAGCAGGGCGGACAGGCCUGGGUCCUGGAGCGCUGGGGGAAACUGCUGACUUCCCUCCUUUCCAGCGGGGCCUCCAAACCCACUUUGCAUCUGCUAGUCCUGGCCCUUGGCAGCCCCUCCUGCUCCAAGGAAGACCCAGGUGGCCUCUAUCUUAGAUUCUGUCCCCCACCCCACUGUCUUGGAAACUGGUCAGCCAAGCAGGAAUCACUGGCAUUUGGCAGCAAGAAGGGUCAGCUCAGGACGCCCCCCGGCAACUUCUGAACCUCAGCAUAAGCCAGAGAUGCCUGCUGCACCGCUCUCAGCUCCAGCCCAGCUCCGGAACGCAGGCUGCGGUGAGGAGGGCGCUGGGCAGCGGGGCCACGGGACAGCAGACAGAAUCUGGAGGCCUCUUAGGAACCAGGGAACUCUGGAGACCCCAGAACUGUGGAAGGCAGGGCUGUGGUCCAGGACAAAGGGCUCUGCUCUUAGUGCUGUGAAGGGAAGUCGUGCCACGACCCUCGGAAGAGUGGGUGCCCUUUGGAUGGCUUGCUGGCGUGGGUGAUGCCUGCCUCCACUUCCUCCUUUGUGUGCGUAGAGGCAGGACAACGUUUCACAUCGACGUCGUUCUUUACAGUCUGCCAAGUAGUCUCCUGUCCUUUAUCUCUUGGGUUGUGCCCAUCAAUUCCCCGAGGGAAGUGCUCGCCCCGUUAUGACCCCUAUUGUAAGGACGGGGAGACUGAGGCUCAGAGAGGCUGUGUGACUUGCCCAAAGUCACCGCUGGUUAGUGGCAGAGCUGUCUCAGAGUUUCAUCCUACAAAUCCGAGUCAGGUGCUUCUCCUCCACACCACGUGCACACAAGACAUGUCUGGGGUGGAGAGAUGCUGGAAUGCACGGUCUUCGGGGUAUGCUGUGGCAGGGUGAAUGGUGGCCUCCCCCAAAAGAGGUAUGUCCAUGUUGUAACGCCCGGGACCUGUGAAUGUGCCCUCGUUCGGGAAAAGGGUCCUUGCAGGUGGAAUUAAGUGACAGAUCUCAAGAUGAGGUCAUCCUGGAUUUAGGGUGGGCCCUGAAUCCCAUGGCAAGUGUCCUUCCAGGAGACAGACAGGGGCAGAUUGGGGACACAGAAGACAAGGCCAUGUGAAGAUGGAGGGAGAGACGAUAGAGAUGCUGCCUCCAGCCCAGGAUGCUGGGAGCUGGAACGAGCAUGGGAUGGAUUCUCUCGCAGAGCCUCCGGAAGGAACCGCCUUGAUUCUGGAUCUCUGGCCUCCGGAACUGUGAGAGCAUAACUUUGUGUGGUUAAGACACCGAGUUCGUGGUCAUUUGUGUGGCCACCCUGGGAAACAGAGACUGUGACUCCAAAACUCUCCCAGUCACCUGGUAUGAGCUGUCAGCUGCUCAAUGAACCCACUUAGCACGUGGCCGGGGGGGGGUGUGAGAGCCGGGACGGGCCCGGGGGCCCCGGAAUGACACAGCCCCUCCGCGAUGGCACCACCCAAGGGCCAGCCGGCUCCCGCCCGGCCCCGGACAGCCAGCCUCUCACCCUCAGCCCCUCCUCCUUUGCCACCCUCCCUUUGGUUUGGUUUCGCUCCAGACCGAGAAAAGAAUGAUGCUCCAACAGCUCUGGGAAAGGUGACUCGGCCUUAGGAGACGUCACCCCUCCGGCAGGAGGCAUUUAUGGAGCCAGAAAUGUCCUUUGGAUUUGCCGUACCUUCUUGGAGGUGGUCAGAAGGGGGCUCAGCCAGCCUGCCCAGCUUAAGGAGCAGCGGGAGGAACCUCAAUAAAAUGCAGAUUCCGAUGCAGCGGGCCUGGGGCCGGGCCCACAACUCUGCCUUUGCAACCAGCAGCAAGCUGGUGCCGUUGCUGCCGGUCCUCAGCCCACACUCGGAGCAGAGAGUCACCCAACCGCCACCUGUGAAAUGCCAUCGUGUCAUUGCCACCACCAUCCCUGGGGUGCCGUUUGAAGAACAAAUUCUCUUGUUUUGUAUCAGGGCGCUUUGUAAGCUGUGAAGUCCUGUACAAUUAUGUAUUUCUGUAAAAAGAUGACCAAGAAUAUGAUUGAGCGGCGGUAUUUGAAGCCAAAGGACUUGGUUUAGGACCAAGUUCUAGCUCCUCUCACCAGCUAAGGAUGUCUUAGGUGAACACCUCCUUUCUCGGAGCCUGUAAAGUGGGGACGAUGGUGCUACCUCACGGGCUAGCUGUGAAGAUAAAUCAAACGCGAUCAUCGAGGGAAACAGCAGCGGGAAGAGCCCGCACACGGGAGACACCCGGUCGCAUUCUUCCUCCUGACCAUUGUCCCGUUUACAGGGUGCGAACGGUCGGGGGAGGCUGCCGCUCUUCUUUCCCCUCUCAUCCUGGAGUCCAACCUGCCAGGUCGUGAUGUAAGGGCCACUUGGUCCCCAAGGUCCGCCCAGGCUGCUCCAUGUUCCAACUGUCCUGGAGGCUGGACCACCAGUUCCUCCGCCGCGUCCCUGAGGGCGCGUGUGCCUCCACCUGCAGCUGCCCGGGGGCCUGUGAGCGAGACCUCAGCCACCGCCUCCUGGAGCUGGGGGUUUGGGCAAGAGGGAGGCCAGCAGCUCAGCGUUUCGUUUCCCUUGGGAAACUACCUGCUGCCUGAAGGUGCUUGGGGUUUGGUGGGAGCGCGGUCAGUCUCCAUGGCGAUGAGGUUUGUGGGUGUAAGCCAGCGGUGAGGGCCUGGCGCCUGCUGGAUCGGGGGGGCAGGCUCAGAGCUCCCACCCGCUCCCGGGCCUACACGGAGGGGUCUUCCGCCCACAGUGGCUUUUCCUCCACCCCCACCCCCAGCAUCCCGCCCCCUCCACAGCAGGAGCCACGCGCAGGUGGGCACUGGGACAGCAGACACGGCCGUGUGCAGCCCUGGAGAGGCUGCCGGGCGUCAGCUCGCUCGCAGCCGUGCACUGGAGUCUGGUUACGCCUGAACAGGACAAUUACCGUAAUUGCUAUUUGCGCUGAUGACACUGUCAUCAUCAGUCUGACAAUGGGAUGGGCAUUACGCACCCCAACCAGCCACAGCACAGCAGCCUGCCGCAGGCCGGGGCCCCAGCCACUGGAGAGGAGGGCCCAGGCGGACCCCGAUGCCCAGCCCAGGCCUGUCGGGACCCAGGUGCACUCUGCACCACACUCCAGGCCUCCGGCGGUCUCUGACCAUGAGUGGGAUGUCUCUUAGCUUCUGCAUAUGAAGGGUAGGUCUGCAGAUGGGUGAUGUUUACAUAGUAUACUUAAAUCUGCAAAAAAAAAACCAACAAAAAAAGAUAAAUGACCUUAUUGUCUGUACCCAAUCCUAUGGAACUCACAGUUGCCCUUUUCUGAUUCUGUUGAGGGCAGGGGAUCAACAGCAGAAAAUGAACCAGCCUUCCCACUUACGGUAACUGGGAGCUUAUUUCUAACAGUCGCUUUUGUAUUCAUCACAGGUCAUUGGGUGAGUGACCAGUUCAAAAUUAAAACUCCUGGUCAGGGCUGUUCCUGCCUGGCUCCCGGGAGCCCUCGUGGUAUUGAGGGUGGGGUCUGCAUACUUCCCUCUGCCCCUAUGCAGGUCCUCUGUCGUGUCUGGGCCCAGGCCCUGUGCUUGCUCCCAGUGAACGUGGCCAUCUCCCCUGGUGGCCAGACCCCAUCUCAGCUCUCACUGGUCCUGAAGAUGCCCUGAGUCCCGGUGAUGACAAAAACUCCAUGCCAGCCUGCAAGGGCCACCUGUAGCCUCUGGCUGCUGUGCCCAGCCCAACGGUGGCUCCUUGGCAAACCUGCCAGUCCGCACCCUUGGCCUCCUUCCCAGCUUCC